AGAGUUUGAUCAUGGCUCAGAACAAACGCUGGCGGCGUGCCUAACACAUGCAAGUCGUGCGAGAAAGUCCCCUUCGGGGGGCGAGUAAAGCGGCGAAAGGGUGAGUAACACGUGGGUAACCUGCCCCUUGGACCGGGAUAACCCGCCGAAAGGUGGGUUAAUACCGGAUAAGACCACGCGGACACAGGUCCGAGCGGUAAAAGAUGGCCUCUGCUUGCAAGCUAUCACCGAGGGAUGGGCCCGCGGCCUAUUAGCUAGUUGGUAGGGUAACGGCCUACCAAGGCUAUGAUGGGUAGCCGGCCUGAGAGGGUGUACGGCCACACUGGAACUGAGACACGGUCCAGACUCCUACGGGAGGCAGCAGUGGGGAAUUUUGCGCAAUGGGGGAAACCCUGACGCAGCAACGCCGCGUGAGUGAUGAAGGCCUUCGGGUCGUAAAACUCUUUUGGUGGGGAAGAAAUGCGCAGCGGUCAACACCCGCGGCGCUUGACGGUACCCGCAGAAAAAGUCCCGGCUAACUCCGUGCCAGCAGCCGCGGUAAUACGGAGGGGGCCAGCGUUGUUCGGAAUCAUUGGGCGUAAAGAGCGCGCAGGCGGUUGGGUCAGUCAGACGUGGAAGCCCUGGGCUUAACCCAGGAAUUGCGUUUGAUACUGCCCGGCUCGAGUUCGGGAGAGGGUGGCGGAAUUCCCAGUGUAGAGGUGAAAUUCGUAGAUAUUGGGAGGAACACCUGUGGCGAAGGCGGCUACCUGGACCGAUACUGACGCUGAGGCGCGAAAGCCAGGGGAGCGAACGGGAUUAGAUACCCCGGUAGUCCUGUGCUGUAAACGAUGAUGACUAGGUGUAGGAGGUAUCGACCCCUCCUGUGCCGCAGCUAACGCAUUAAGUCAUCCGCCUGGGGAUUACGGCCGCAAGGCUAAGAACUCAAAGGAAUUGACGGGGGCCCGCACAAGCGGUGGAGCAUGUGGUUAAAUUCGACGCAACGCGAGAAACCUUACCUGGGCUUGACAUCCCGUGCAACCCGGUGGAAAGCCCGGUUUUCCCUUCCGGGGACGCG
Molecule: ribosomal RNA, 1054 nt
Filed under: uncultured bacterium
Lineage: Bacteria
Description: bacterial SSU rRNA
Rfam family: Bacterial small subunit ribosomal RNA
Source: RNAcentral